CCUACGGGUGGCAGCAGUGGGGAAUAUUGCACAAUGGGCGAAAGCCUGAUGCAGCAACGCCGCGUGAAGGAAGAAGGGUUUCGGCUUGUAAACUUCUAUCAACAGGGACGAAAGAAAUGACGGUACCUGAAUAAGAAGCCCCGGCUAACUACGUGCCAGCCGACGCGGUAAUACGUAGGGGGCAAGCGUUAUCCGGAAUUACUGGGUGUAAAGGGUGAGUAGGCGGCAUGGUAAGCCAGAUGUGAAAGCCCUGGGCUUAACCCGAGGAUUGCAUUUGAUACUAGCCAGCGAGAGUGCAGGAGAGGAAAGCGGAAUUCCUGGUGUAGCGGUGAAAUGCGUAGAUAGUAGGAAGAACACCAGUGGCGAAGGCAGCUUUCUGGACUGAAACUGACGCUGAGGCACGAAAGCGUGGGGAGCGAACAGGAUUAGAUACCCUAGUAGUC
Molecule: ribosomal RNA, 443 nt
Filed under: uncultured bacterium
Lineage: Bacteria
Description: partial 16S ribosomal RNA
Rfam family: Bacterial small subunit ribosomal RNA
Source: RNAcentral